Aedes albopictus (Asian tiger mosquito) is the source of this 864-nucleotide long non-coding RNA. RefSeq lists it as uncharacterized. The record is from RefSeq and is a predicted model, not a curated record. Lineage: Eukaryota; Metazoa; Arthropoda; Insecta; Diptera; Culicidae. The transcript is spliced from 2 exons.
CAUCGACCAAGCCGAUAUCCCGAAGCUACUUUGUUGCACACAAAAACCAGCAGUCCGUCAAAGGAACAGUUACCGCUGAACUUACCAGUUUCCCUGAUGAAGGCCUUUCCGUUACGAGGUGAAGGUGCAGUAGUGAUUCAGCAUCCAACAACGCUUGCAUCGGCAGCAUAGAAUUUGAAGGCGUAUCUUCUAGGUUAAAUUACAAACGCAAAUGGCGCCAACGGUUCGAAUCGCCCACCAGCGGGCACAAGUUAACUGCGUAACAGUAAUCGAGCACCCUUCAGAGUCGACAUCGGUAACAACGAUGUGACGACACAUGUUCCGGACAGCGUACGAUAUCGACUUGACCCGGUUGCGUCGGAAACGGGAACAUCUCCAAAAUCAGAAAACGGCGCAGCAGAAAUCGAUUAUUUAUUUAUUACUUAAUUAUUUACUCUAAAAUAAAAUGCUGAUAAAGAUUUUUCUUUAAUUGAUACAUAUUUGUACCUGCUUGUAGCGCAUUUGAGGAGGCAAGAAUUUUCAAAUCCUUAUAAAAUGCAAUGGCAUAUUUACCGAUAGGGUAAAAUCUAUGCUUUCUUCAUUGCAUUUUGUAAGGAUUUAGAAUCUCUUGCCUCCUCGAAUACGCUGCAGGCUGUUGCGGCUGCUUUAGUUUUUAUUCCAAAAUCAUGUAUAAAUUACGUGAAAUUCAUGUAGAACUAAUCAUGUUUUCACGUAAAAGUUACCUGAAAUUCCAGUGGCACUCACCCACAUUUCACGUAAACGAUACGUAAAAUGCAUGUCAAAUUUACCUGACUCAUCACGUCGAUUAUCGAAACACAAUUUUUCCAGCUACCUGAAAUUCCGGUGAAGGCUACGUGAAAAUUA